RNAcentral lists this ribosomal RNA (485 nucleotides) under uncultured bacterium. RNAcentral's name for it is "bacterial SSU rRNA". It matches the Rfam family "Bacterial small subunit ribosomal RNA", at positions 30 to 529 of the family's 1533-position model. The record is from RNAcentral.
AUUGAACGCUGGCGGCAUGCCUUACACAUGCAAGUCGAAUGGCAGCAUGGGUGCUUGCACCUGAUGGCGAGUGGCGAACGGGUGAGUAAUGCAUCGGAACGUACCCGGAAGUGGGGGAUAACGUAGCGAAAGUUACGCUAAUACCGCAUAUUCUGUGAGCAGGAAAGCGGGGGAUCGCAAGACCUCGCGCUUCCGGAGCGGCCGAUGUCGGAUUAGCUAGUUGGCGGGGUAAAGGCCCACCAAGGCAACGAUCCGUAGCGGGUCUGAGAGGAUGAUCCGCCACACUGGGACUGAGACACGGCCCAGACUCCUACGGGAGGCAGCAGUGGGGAAUUUUGGACAAUGGGCGCAAGCCUGAUCCAGCCAUGCCGCGUGAGUGAUGAAGGCCUUAGGGUUGUAAAGCUCUUUUGUCCGGGAAGAUAAUGACUGUACCGAAGAAUAAGCCCCGGUAACUUCGUGCCCAGCAGCCGCGGUAAAAUAGCGUA